AGAGUUUGAUCAUGGCUCAGGACGAACGCUGGCGGCGUGCUUAACACAUGCAAGUCGUGCGGUAAGGCCCUUCGGGGUACACGAGCGGCGAACGGGUGAGUAACACGUGAGUAACCUGCCCUGUACUUUGGGAUAAGCCUGGGAAACUGGGUCUAAUACCGGAUAGGACCUGCUCCUGCAUGGGGGUGGGUGGAAAGCUC
RNAcentral lists this ribosomal RNA (200 nucleotides) under uncultured bacterium. RNAcentral describes it as "partial 16S ribosomal RNA". It matches the Rfam family "Bacterial small subunit ribosomal RNA", at positions 8 to 210 of the family's 1533-position model. The record is from RNAcentral.